AGAGUUUGAUCCUGGCUCAGAACGUACGCUGGCGGCACGCCUUAUACAUGCAAGUCGAACGAAGUAGCAAUACUUAGUGGCAGACGGGUGAGUAACAUGUAGGUACCUACCCUUUGGCCUGGAAUAACACGAGGAAACUUGUGCUAAUACCGGAUAAGUCUUUACAGAGAAAGCUUUAUGCACCAUUGGAUGAGCCUGCACUAGAUUAGUUUGUUGGUGGGGUAAUGGCCUACCAAGACUAUGAUCUAUAGCUGAUUUGAGAGGAUGAUCAGCCACAUUGGAACUGAGACACGGUCCAAACUCCUACGGGAGGCAGCAGUAGGGAAUCUUGCACAAUGGAGGAAACUCUGAUGCAGCGAUGCCGCGUGAGUGAAGAAGGCCUUUGGGUUGUAAAGCUCUUUCGUCGGGGAAGAAAAUGACUGUACCCGAAUAAGAAGGUCCGGCUAACUUCGUGCCAGCAGCCGCGGUAAUACGAAGGGACCUAGCGUAGUUCGGAAUUACUGGGCUUAAAGAGUUCGUAGGUGGUUGAAAAAGUUGGUGGUGAAAUCCCAGAGCUUAACUCUGGAACUGCCAUCAAAACUUUUCAGCUAGAGUAUGAUAGAGGAAAGCAGAAUUUCUAGUGUAGAGGUGAAAUUCGUAGAUAUUAGAAAGAAUACCAAUUGCGAAGGCAGCUUUCUGGAUCAUUACUGACACUGAGGAACGAAAGCAUGGGUAGCGAAGAGGAUUAGAUACCCUCGUAGUCCAUGCCGUAA
Molecule: ribosomal RNA, 752 nt
Filed under: uncultured bacterium
Lineage: Bacteria
Description: bacterial SSU rRNA
Rfam family: Bacterial small subunit ribosomal RNA
Source: RNAcentral